AUGUCCUCCCCAACCCCGCCCAGAUGGGGGCCGACGAGGGCUUCCUCCUCCGCGAGUGGCGCCGCGCCGGGGAUCAGCACCUCGCCGUCGGAGGAGAACAUGUGUUACUUCAAUGUCAUGGCCCUUGGCCCCGCGCAGUCGCCCUACGAAGGACAAGGUGGUGAACCCGCUGUUCCUGAAGAGGCCGAAGUAGUUCGGCAUCGGUGGCGCCCUGCCGCCCAAGAAGGGCCUCCACCGGUUCGUCAAGUGGCCCAAGGUCAUGCGCAUCCAGCGCCGCAUCCUCAAGCAGCGCCUCAAGGUGCCCCCGGUGCUCCACCAGUUCACCCACACCCUCGACAAGAACCUCGUUGGGUGCACAGGAGCUCUAGGAAGAAGAAUCCCGAAGAAAAACCACACCGAGCAAUGCGUUUUAGCUCACUGGAGCUAGUUAUGUGUAUAUUUAGUUUUAUUUUAUAG
RNAcentral lists this ribosomal RNA (456 nucleotides) under Triticum aestivum (bread wheat). RNAcentral's name for it is "partial small subunit ribosomal RNA". The record is from RNAcentral. Lineage: Eukaryota; Viridiplantae; Streptophyta; Magnoliopsida; Poales; Poaceae.